Molecule: ribosomal RNA, 253 nt
Filed under: uncultured bacterium
Lineage: Bacteria
Description: partial 16S ribosomal RNA
Rfam family: Bacterial small subunit ribosomal RNA
Source: RNAcentral
UACAGAGGUCUCAAGCGUUGUUCGGAUUCAUUGGGCGUACAGGGUGCGUAGGUGGCGCCGUAAGUCGGGUGUGAAAUUUCGGAGCUUAACUCCGAAGCUGCAUUCGAUACUGCGGUGCUUGAGGACUGGAGAGGAGACUGGAAUUCAUGGUGUAGCAGUGAAAUGCGUAGAGAUCAUGAGGAAGACCAGUGGCGAAGGCGGGUCUCUGGACAGUUCCUGACACUGAGGCACGAAGGCCAGGGGAGCAAACGGG